AAAACGACUCUCGGCAACGGAUAUCUCGGCUCUCGCAUCGAUGAAGAACGUAGCGAAAUGCGAUACUUGGUGUAAAUUGCAGAAUCCCGUGAACCAUCGAGUUUUUGAACGCAAGUUGCGCCCAAAACCUUCGGGUCGAGGGCACGUCUGCCUGGGUGUCACGC
This 164-nucleotide ribosomal RNA is filed under the name Breynia bicolor. RNAcentral describes it as "Sauropus bicolor 5.8S ribosomal RNA". It matches the Rfam family "5.8S ribosomal RNA". Rfam says of the family: 5.8S ribosomal RNA (5.8S rRNA) is a component of the large subunit of the eukaryotic ribosome. It is transcribed by RNA polymerase I as part of the 45S precursor that also contains 18S and 28S rRNA. Lineage: Eukaryota; Viridiplantae; Streptophyta; Magnoliopsida; Malpighiales; Phyllanthaceae. The record is from RNAcentral.